RNAcentral lists this ribosomal RNA (450 nucleotides) under uncultured bacterium. RNAcentral's name for it is "bacterial SSU rRNA". It matches the Rfam family "Bacterial small subunit ribosomal RNA", at positions 354 to 796 of the family's 1533-position model. The record is from RNAcentral.
GUGGGGAAUAUUGGACAAUGGGCGAAAGCCUGAUCCAGCCAUGCCGCGUGUGUGAAGAAGGUCUUCGGAUUGUAAAGCACUUUAAGUUGGGAGGAAGGGUUGUACGUUAAUACCGUGCAAUUUUGACGUUACCGACAGAAUAAGCACCGGCUAACUUCGUGCCAGCAGCCGCGGUAAUACGAAGGGUGCAAGCGUUAAUCGGAAUUACUGGGCGUAAAGCGCGCGUAGGUGGUUCAGUAAGUUGGAAGUGAAAUCCCCGGGCUCAACCUGGGAACUGCUUUCAAAACUGCUGAGCUAGAGUACGGUAGAGGGUAGUGGAAUUUCCUGUGUAGCGGUGAAAUGCGUAGAUAUAGGAAGGAACACCAGUGGCGAAGGCGACUACCUGGACUGAUACUGACACUGAGGUGCGAAAGCGUGGGGAGCAAACAGGAUUAGAAACCCUUGUAGUCC